AGCUGGAUAGCUCAGUUGGUUAGAGCAUGGCGCUGAUAAUACCAAGGUCACAGGUUUGAUCCCCAUAUGGCACAGCUG
Molecule: transfer RNA, 78 nt
Filed under: Podarcis lilfordi (Lilford's wall lizard)
Lineage: Eukaryota; Metazoa; Chordata; Lepidosauria; Squamata; Lacertidae
Description: tRNA.Ile
Source: RNAcentral